Octopus sinensis (East Asian common octopus) is the source of this 751-nucleotide long non-coding RNA. RefSeq lists it as uncharacterized. The record is from RefSeq and is a predicted model, not a curated record. The transcript is spliced from 2 exons. Lineage: Eukaryota; Metazoa; Mollusca; Cephalopoda; Octopoda; Octopodidae.
ACGCACAUGCACGCAGAGACACACAGAGGAAAACUUGAGAUAUAAGUAAUGAGAGUAGGAGGGAAAGAGAUAAAUUGCAAGAGUGGCGGUGGCAGUAGUGAUCGCAGAGGGCUGUGUGAUGUGGUUAUUGAUUGUUGUGCCUGACAACAAUAGGCGGGAGAGGCCGAACAUGGUUCUCUCACUCAGACACACACAGGACAGACAGACAGACACAAGCAACAUGGACUUGACCAGCAAGACCAAACGAGAGUGAGUGAACAUGAAGAACACAAUGCAAGCUCAUGAUGUCAACAGAUUCUGCAAAAUCAGGGAGACACACAGACAGACAGACAGACAAGAAAUAAUUAUGGUUUAAUUCAGGGUACCUGUCUACCCUUUGUGCCAGACAACAGAGAUAAUUUCUAGCACUGACAUAUGUUGCUGAAAACUGUUCCUUUGGAUACAUUCGUUUGUAUUACUGUCAUUGGCGGUAACAUCUAUUAACCUCAUACCACCCUUAUCGUCACCGCCACUACCGCUGCACACCAUCGCUACUACCACCACCACUGCCACCACCACCACUGCCACCACCACGACCACAACGACAGCUACAACCAUUGUAGUGACAGUAACUGCUACUAUAACUCCUACUGCAGCUGUAAUAACAACUACUACUUCAACUACUACCUCAGCAAACUCCACAACCACAACUACCACUAAUACUACUUCUACCUCAGCAAUAGUAUUCGCUACCAAAACUACUACUACUACU